ACACCGAAAUAUUAAAGAAAUAUUCAGAGAGCGAGACAACAUUGGUUGUGAUGGCUGAACGUUUUUUCCUGCUACUAGUCACCCGUGAGGCACGGAGCAGCCGCGUGAGCACAUUUUGACCAGAGGUCAGGUCCUUUUAGCGGGAACCUAAACUUCCUGGAGCUGCAUUCGAAUAUCGUUGGAUGUUGAUGCUGGAACUGGCGUGAACAGGAAGUUGGGGGAGGCACUCAAUGCUCGCGUGAUGUGGCCGAGGGACUUGAGGAGAAUUAUACACUGACAGCAGUGGAGAUGAGAGCGCACUUGAAAUUAUCAGGCGGAACCCACCGACUAGCCCGUCUCGAUCACGCCCACAUGGGCGGGACCAGCCAGGUGCUCCGUAGAACGCUUAAUGACGGAAUGGAUUUAAGCACUGAGCUCCAUCGGGACAUUGCGAAACCCGUUCCCGAACCUGAACCUCCUGCCCCGCUGAGACCGGCUUCUCCUGGUAAAGACUCCAACAGCAAGACUGUGGUACAGCAGCCUGUGUCUGACACUGUGUCUGACACAGACUCUGUGAGCCUGCAGUGUACGAUAGAGACUGGGAGCUGUGCAGGAGAACACAGUGUUUACUGGUUCAGACAUGGAUCAGGAGAAUCCCUUCCUGGAGUCAUUUACAGCCACGGAAACAGGAGUGAUGAGUGUGAGAAGAGCCCUGAGGCUGGAUCUCCUACACGGAGCUGCGUCUACAGCCUCCCCAAGGGGAACCUCAGCCUCUCCGAUGCUGGGACUUACUACUGCGCCGUGGCCAUGUGUGGGGAGAUGCUGUUUGGCAAUGGGACCAAGCUGGAUAUAGAUGGUAACACCCAGUGAGGGGAGAUGCUGUUUGGGAACGGCACACAGCUGGAUAUAGAUGGUAACACCCAGUGAGGGGAGAUGCUGUUUGGGAACGGCACACAGCUGGAUAUAGAUGGUAACACCCAGCGUGGGGAGAUGCUGUUUGGGAACGGAACACAGCUGGAUAUAGAUGGUAACACCCAGUGAGGGGAGAUGCUGUUUGGGAACGGCACAUAGCUGGAUAUAGAUGGUAACACCCAGUGUGGGGAGAUGCUGUUUGGGAACGGCACACAGCUGGAUAUAGAUGGUAACACCCAGCGUGGGGAGAUGCUGUUUGGGAACGGCACACAGCUGGAUAUAGAUGGUAACACCCAGCGUGGGGAGAUGCUGUUUGGGAACGGCACACAGCUGGAUAUAGAUGGUAACACCCAGCGUGGGGAGAUGCUG
Non-coding RNA from Brienomyrus brachyistius, 1260 nucleotides. The record is from the annotation of a RefSeq genome assembly. Lineage: Eukaryota; Metazoa; Chordata; Actinopteri; Osteoglossiformes; Mormyridae.